UACGAAGGGGGCUAGCGUUGCUCGGAAUCACUGGGCGUAAAGGGUGCGUAGGCGGGUCUUUAAGUCAGGGGUGAAAUCCUGGAGCUCAACUCCAGAACUGCCUUCGAUACUGAGAGUCUUGAGUCCGGGAGAGGUGAGUGGAACUGCGAGUGUAGAGGUGAAAUUCGUAGAUAUUCGCAAGAACACCAGUGGCGAAGGCGGCUCACUGGCCCGGUACUGACGCUGAGGUGCGAAAAGCGUGGGGAGCAAACAGG
This 254-nucleotide ribosomal RNA is filed under the name uncultured bacterium. Its description in RNAcentral is "partial 16S ribosomal RNA". It matches the Rfam family "Bacterial small subunit ribosomal RNA", at positions 524 to 776 of the family's 1533-position model. The record is from RNAcentral.